RNAcentral lists this ribosomal RNA (502 nucleotides) under uncultured bacterium. RNAcentral describes it as "partial 16S ribosomal RNA". It matches the Rfam family "Bacterial small subunit ribosomal RNA", at positions 30 to 523 of the family's 1533-position model. The record is from RNAcentral.
AUUGAACGCUGGCGGAAUGCUUUACACAUGCAAGUCGAACGGCAGCAUAGGUGCUUGCACCUGAUGGCGAGUGGCGAACGGGUGAGUAAUACAUCGGAACGUGCCCAGUCGUGGGGGAUAACGUAGCGAAAGUUACACUAAUACCGCAUACGAUCUAAGGAUGAAAGCGGGGGACCGUAAGGCCUCGCGCGAUUGGAGCGGCCGAUGUCAGAUUAGGUAGUUGGUGAGGUAAAGGCUCACCAAGCCGACGAUCUGUAGCUGGUCUGAGAGGACGACCAGCCACACUGGGACUGAGACACGGCCCAGACUCCUACGGGAGGCAGCUGUGGGGAAUUUUGGACAAUGGACGCAAGUCUGAUCCAGCCAUUCCGCGUGCAGGACGAAGGCCUUCGGGUUGUAAACUGCUUUUGUACGGAACGAAAAAGCUCUUACUAAUACUAGGAGUCCAUGACGGUACCGUAAGAAUAAGCACCGGCUAACUACGUGCCAGCCGCCGCGGUAA